GAUGAAGAACGCAGCGAAAUGCGAUAAGUAAUGUGAAUUGCAGAAUUCAGUGAAUCAUCGAAUCUUUGAACGCACAUUGCGCCCAUUAGCAUUCUAGUGGGCAUGCCUUUUCGAGCGUCAUUUCAACCCUUAAGCCCUGUUGCUUAGCGUUGGGAGCCUACAGUACUGUAGCUCCCCAAAGUUAGUGGCGGAGUCGGUUUCACACUCUAGACGUAGUAAUUUUUUCUCGUCUGUAGUUGAGCCGGUCCCCUGCCGUAAAACACCCAAUUUAUCAAGGUUGACCUCGGAUCAGGUAGGAAUACCCGCUGAACUUAAGCAUAUCAAUAAGCGGAGGA
RNAcentral lists this unclassified non-coding RNA (335 nucleotides) under soil metagenome. RNAcentral's name for it is "partial contains 5.8S ribosomal RNA, internal transcribed spacer 2, and large subunit ribosomal RNA". The stretch from base 1 to 120 matches the Rfam family "5.8S ribosomal RNA", at positions 35 to 154 of the family's 154-position model. The record is from RNAcentral.